Octopus sinensis (East Asian common octopus) is the source of this 655-nucleotide long non-coding RNA. RefSeq lists it as uncharacterized. NCBI's taxonomy places the organism in Eukaryota, Metazoa, Mollusca, Cephalopoda, Octopoda, Octopodidae. The transcript has 2 exons. The record is from RefSeq and is a predicted model, not a curated record.
GACAUAAAGGGAGAUAAUUUAGACUCAGCUGCCUGGAAACAUUUCAGAGAGGAGAUACGCAUGCGCAUUGAAAGUACUUGCUGCAUUUUGAUAUCCAGGUGCGUGGAUUUCUCUUAAUUAGUUGAUAAGACAUUUAUAAUAGUUCUAAUGAAUUCCUCAACUGCCAGACACACACAUACAUAACAACACUGUCCUUUAUGAAACAUUUCCAACAUCAGAUGACAUUGACAUAACAGAAGAAACAUCCUCAAUAUCUACCAUGUUUUAAGGAAUAAAAGAAAAUAUUAUAUGAAACAGAUGUAUAGCAUUAUUUCUAGAAAUCUGUGGUAGAAUUCCUGUGAAACAUUUGCUCUGAAAUAAUAUUAUUAGCCAAAUUUCUGAACGUCAUCGACUGGAGUGUCAAGAAGAGAAGCUUCUGUGCUGAUUAAAGUUGGAUUAAUGUAUGUAAGUGUUGCUAAAUGGACAGAAAUACCACAGCAGAAGUGUUUGUAAAGAAUAAAGUAAAAGAAGAAAAGGAAGAAAAAUAUAUAAACUGGGAUUUGAGAGGGAAAAUAAUGGAAAAGAGUGAGAAAAAUAUACAAUUGAUUUCCCCUGAACCCAAGACAAAAGAGACGAGAUCAUAUGAUUGUGAUAUUUGUACAAAGUCUUUUUCUCA